RNAcentral lists this ribosomal RNA (254 nucleotides) under uncultured bacterium. Its description in RNAcentral is "partial 16S ribosomal RNA". It matches the Rfam family "Bacterial small subunit ribosomal RNA", at positions 524 to 776 of the family's 1533-position model. The record is from RNAcentral.
UACGGAGGGUGCAAGCGUUAUCCGGAUUCACUGGGUUUAAAGGGUGCGUAGGUGGGUUGGUAAGUCAGUGGUGAAAUCCCCGGGCUUAACCUGGGAACUGCAUUGGUGACUGGCAGGCUUUGAGUGUGGCAGAGGGAGGUAGAAUUCCACGUGUAGCAGUGAAAUGCGUAGAGAUGUGGAGGAAUACCGAUGGCGAAGGCAGCCUCCUGGGCCAACACUGACGCUCAUGCACGAAAGCGUGGGGAGCAAACAGG